ACAUGCAAGUCGAACGGACCAUUAAUUUAUUAGUGGUUAGUGGCGAAAGGGUGCGGAGUGAAUAGGUAACGUACCCCGAACUCCGGGAUAGCGUCUAGAAACUUCGGUUUCUUUCCGAAAGGGGCGGUAAUACCGGAUAAUAUCAUAUACUUCGAGGUAUAUGAUCAAAGAUUUAUCGGUUUGGGAGCGGCCUAUUUCCUAUCAGCUUGUUGGUGAGGUAACGGCUCACCAAGGCAGCGACGGGUAGCGGGACUGAGAGGUUGACCCGCCACAUCGGGACUGAGACACUGCCCGGACCUCCACGGAGGGCUGCAGUAACGAAUAUUGUGCAAUGGACGAAAGUCUGACACAGCAACGCCGCGUGUAGGAGGAAGCCCUUCGGGGUGUAAACUACUGUCAGGGGUCAGAAAGUAUGUUUAGGCAUAUUGAUCAGCCCCAGAGGAAGUCACGGCUAACUUCGUGCCAGCAGCCGCGGUAAUACGAAGGUGGCAAGCGUUGUUCGGAAUCACUGGGCUUAAAGCGCGCGCAGGCGGAAAUGUAAGUGUUUUGUGAAAGCCCCCGGCUUAACCGGGGAAUUGCUCAGCAUACUGCAUUUCUUGAGACAAGUAGGGGUACAUGGAACUCUUGGUGGAGCGGUGGAAUGCGUAGAUAUCAAGAGGAACGCCAAUGGUGAAGACAGUGUACUGGGCUUGUUCUGACGCUGA
Molecule: ribosomal RNA, 704 nt
Filed under: uncultured bacterium
Lineage: Bacteria
Description: bacterial SSU rRNA
Rfam family: Bacterial small subunit ribosomal RNA
Source: RNAcentral